RNAcentral lists this ribosomal RNA (522 nucleotides) under uncultured Lachnospiraceae bacterium. RNAcentral's name for it is "partial 16S ribosomal RNA". Lineage: Bacteria; Bacillati; Bacillota; Clostridia; Lachnospirales; Lachnospiraceae. The record is from RNAcentral.
CACGUAGUUAGCCGGGGCUUCUUAGUCAGGUACCGUCAUUUUCUUCCCUGCUGAUAGAGCUUUACAUACCGAGAUACUUCUUCGCUCACGCGGCGUCGCUGCAUCAGGGUUUCCCCCAUUGUGCAAUAUUCCCCACUGCUGCCUCCCGUAGGAGUUUGGGCCGUGUCUCAGUCCCAAUGUGGCCGUUCACCCUCUCAGGCCGGCUACUGAUCGUCGCCUUGGUGGGCCGUUACCCCGCCAACCAGCUAAUCAGACGCGGGUCCAUCCUAUACCACCGGAGUUUUUCACACCGGAGCAUGCGCUCCUGUGCGCUUAUGCGGUAUUAACAGUCGUUUCCAACUGUUAUCCCCCUGUAUAGGGCAGGUUACCCACGCGUUACUCACCCAUCCGCCACUAAACUAAACCAAAUCCUUUCCGAAGACUCUCAUCGGAGUUAGUUCCGUUCGACUUGCAUGUGUUAAGCACGCCGCCAGUCGUUCAUCCUGACGCCAAGGAUACCAAACUUCCUCUGAGACUGACCCG